CCCUGGCUCAGAGUGAACGCUGGCGGCAGGCCUAACACAUGCAAGUCGAACGGCAGCACAGCAGUAGCAAUACUGUGGGUGGCGAGUGGCGGACGGGUGAGGAAUGCAUCGGAAUCUGCCUAUUUGUGGGGGAUAACGUAGGGAAACUUACGCUAAUACCGCAUACGUCCUACGGGAGAAAGUGGGGGACCUUCGGGCCUCACGCAGAUAGAUGAGCCGAUGCCGGAUUAGCUAGUUGGCGGGGUAAAGGCCCACCAAGGCGACGAUCCGUAGCUGGUCUGAGAGGAUGAUCAGCCACACUGGAACUGAGACACGGUCCAGACUCCUACGGGAGGCAGCAGUGGGGAAUAUUGGACAAUGGGCGCAAGCCUGAUCCAGCCAUGCCGCGUGUGUGAAGAAGGCCUUCGGGUUGUAAAGCACUUUUGUCCGGAAAGAAAAGCUUCGGGUUAAUAACCCGAGGUUAUGACGGUACCGGAAGAAUAAGCACCGGCUAA
Molecule: ribosomal RNA, 494 nt
Filed under: Lysobacter sp. CL1.29
Lineage: Bacteria; Pseudomonadati; Pseudomonadota; Gammaproteobacteria; Lysobacterales; Lysobacteraceae
Description: bacterial SSU rRNA
Rfam family: Bacterial small subunit ribosomal RNA
Source: RNAcentral